This 462-nucleotide ribosomal RNA is filed under the name uncultured bacterium. RNAcentral describes it as "partial 16S ribosomal RNA". It matches the Rfam family "Bacterial small subunit ribosomal RNA", at positions 338 to 795 of the family's 1533-position model. The record is from RNAcentral.
CCUACGGGAGGCAGCAGUGAGGAAUAUUGGUCAAUGGGCUUACGCCUGAACCAGCCAAGUCGCGUGAGGGAAGACUGCCCUAUGGGUUGUAAACCUCUUUUGUCAGGGAGCAAUUGGCGCUACGUGUAGCGUUAUCGAGAGUACCUGAAGAAAAAGCAUCGGCUAACUCCGUGCCAGCAGCCGCGGUAAUACGUAGGGGGCAAGCGUUAUCCGGAUUUACUGGGUGUAAAGGGAGCGUAGGUGGCAUGGCAAGCCAGAAGUGAAAACCCGGGGCUUAACCCCGCGGAUUGCUUUUGGAACUGUCAGGCUGGAGUGCAGGAGGGGCAGGCGGAAUUCCUGGUGUAGCGGUGAAAUGCGUAGAUAUCAGGAGGAACACCGGUGGCGAAGGCGGCCUGCUGGACUGUAACUGACACUGAGGCUCGAAAGCGUGGGGAGCAAACAGGAUUAGAUACCCCGGUAGUC